GAAAUGCGAUAAGUAAUGUGAAUUGCAGAAUUCAGUGAAUCAUCGAAUCUUUGAACGCACCUUGCGCUCCUUGGUAUUCCGAGGAGCAUGCCUGUUUGAGUGUCAUGGAAUUCUCAACUCUAUUUGCUUUUGUGAAUAGAGCUUAGAUUUGGAGGUUUAUUGCUGGUACUUGUGAUCGGCUCCUCUUGAAUGCAUUAGCUCGAACCUUUGCGGAUCAGCUAUCGGUGUGAUAAUUGUCUACGCCGUUGCAGUGAAGCAUAUCAAUGGGCUCGGCUUCCAAUCGUCCUUUACUGGACAAUGACUUUGACCUUUGACCUCAAAUCAGGUAGGAUUACCCGCUGAACUUAAGC
This 350-nucleotide unclassified non-coding RNA is filed under the name plant metagenome. RNAcentral's name for it is "partial contains 5.8S ribosomal RNA, internal transcribed spacer 2, and large subunit ribosomal RNA". The stretch from base 1 to 105 matches the Rfam family "5.8S ribosomal RNA", at positions 50 to 154 of the family's 154-position model. The record is from RNAcentral.